UACGUAGGGACCAAGCGUUGUUCGGAUUUACUGGGCGUAAAGGGCGCGUAGGCGGCGUGUUAAGUCACUUGUGAAAUCUCUAAGCUUAACUUAGAACGGUCAAGUGAUACUGAUGUGCUAGAGUGCAGAAGGGGCAACCGGAAUUCUUGGUGUAGCGGUGAAAUGCGUAGAUAUCUGGAGGAACACCGGUGGCGAAGGCGGCAUCCUGGACCGGCAUUGACGCUGAGGCGCGAAAGCCAGGGGAGCAAACGGG
This 253-nucleotide ribosomal RNA is filed under the name uncultured bacterium. RNAcentral's name for it is "partial 16S ribosomal RNA". It matches the Rfam family "Bacterial small subunit ribosomal RNA", at positions 524 to 776 of the family's 1533-position model. The record is from RNAcentral.